Molecule: long non-coding RNA, 481 nt
Organism: Zea mays
Lineage: Eukaryota; Viridiplantae; Streptophyta; Magnoliopsida; Poales; Poaceae
Exons: 3
Source: RefSeq, a predicted model, not a curated record
CAAGGAGCAAGAGAAAUUCAAAAAAUAGAUCUAACUUGACAAUCCUCCAUCACAGUGGCAGCAAACCAUUUAGAAAAGUAAUUUAUGACAAUGGCGGAAAGGAUAACAACCCUCCAAGUUUGGAUGCCUUAUUUUUCAUGACUCACACAAAGGGUGGUAGUUUUCUAGAUUCUGAAUCCUCCAGCAAGCAUGCACAACUUGAGGAACAAAUAUCAUUAGAUCCUUCUCUUUCUAAUGCAGAACUUAUGGAUAAGUGCUUCCCUUCAAAGAGACAAGAUCACAUUGUUGGAUAUGGUGGUGGCGUGAAAGCAAGACAUCUUAGAAGUCCAUGCAUUAGUAAGGCUGAAUUGAUAGAAAGGUUGAAACAGUCCGAGGAUGAGAAAAGAGCAAUGCAAGAAGAAAAUAGAGAGCUACGAGAAGAAAAUAAAGCUACAAACAGUCGUAUGAGUCGUAUGGAACAGGAGUGGGAAGAACUAAAGAA